This 2043-nucleotide long non-coding RNA is filed under the name Dicentrarchus labrax (European seabass). RNAcentral's name for it is "lncRNA (ENSDLAG00005018394.2)". Lineage: Eukaryota; Metazoa; Chordata; Actinopteri; Moronidae. The record is from RNAcentral.
AAUCAGAUGGAGGAGCGGUAUGGUGAACAUUAUGCCCAGAAAGUAGAAGACCGGCUGCUGCACUAUCUACACGAGUUGGAGACUGUGUUACCAGGAGAUACCUACAUUGAUAAGAUACUGAAGAAAGACAGUCCUGUGACUGAAGAGGAAAAGCUAUUGUUGGAAGUAAUUACCUCUGACUCCACGACCAUAGCAACAACUCUAAAGAAACUGCUGCACUGUGAUGUUGCCUCCUGUCGUCUGUGCAGGGUUUCUCAGUCAUCAGAACAUGGAAAGAAGGGCAUGGAAAGCUCUCAACUCUCAAGGUCUGUUCUGCAGGGCAACUCUUCAAAGGCUCUACUCAAGUCAGUGGAAGCAAAAACUCCAUUUGAGUUUCAGCCAGAUGUUUUAAGGUUAGGAGAGGAGGCUGAACAAGAUGUGUCCAAGGACAGCCCUUUUUUAUUGGAGACUGACAAUAAUUCAGAUGUUAGGAGACAUCAAGGAACAGAGGAGGAUGGUGAGGUAGUCAAGAGGGUGAAGGAAGAGAGCAGUGACAAGGAAAAGGCAGACAUCAGUCAGAGAAGCAGUGAAGGUGUUCAGGAGGUCACUUCCUCUCCUCAGUUCUGCUCUAAACACCAGCGAUGGGUGAAGAGCAUCCUGCAGGAGUGUCCCGACGAGUGCUCCGAAGAGUUGCUGCUUCAAGCUAAUGUUUCUUCAUCUCCCCCGUUGUUCCAGUCGUCUUCCUCCACCUCUUCAUCACAGGACCUCACCCCGUCUGACCUCGUCCCAUGCCCCGCAAACCAACAACAUUCACUUCCACAGACCUCCACCCAUCUUCAGACAGCAGCUCAGGCAUGUGAACAAGCAAACCCUGAAGAUAAGCUGAGCUCUCGAUCACCUGGAUCUUUAACCGGUACUCCUCAAACAGAACCACUACCUCAGGCCCCCUUAUCCAGAGACACUGUGCUGCCCGCCCUGUUGUUGCCGGUGGUCCGAUUGAUAGACAUUGCCUCCGUCAGAGGAAUCUACCCAACCUUUAAACCCCAUCAAGCAUCUCCAAAUAAUUGUACCAGGUCUAGUAAGAAACAGACCACUUCCACUUCCAGUCCUCAGGUCCUAACCUCUCCACACCGCCAUAUCUCAGGAAGAAAUGUCAUGGCUCAGGGAACAAUGAAAGACUUGUUUACCCAAACAGAAACCAAGGCCCUAACAAAUUCCCAAAACACAAUACGCAAAGUGCAAACAGCUCCUGUAUCUCAGGAUGCAUGUAACUCUACCAGCUGUACACCACAAAGCAGACAGUCUUUUUCCAGACUUUCAAGGAAGUUUAGACGGGCUUGUACUACCACCAGACAUUCACAGGCUCUGGACGGAUUCAGUCAAAACCCUUUAGCUGCCCAAACAACCUUCCGGACAAGUUGUCCACCUUUGCCCGACGACUUCAAUGUAUCUGAGCUUCUUACACAAUAUGCUUCUACCUCUACUUCUCAUUCAGGUACACUGUCCUCUGUUUGUACUGCUAACCAAAUCCCUUUAUCCGAAUCAUCUCGACAAGUUCUCCUUCAGAGUUCCAUCAAACCUCAUCUUCAGACACAUAACAUCAGUCCUUCUCAAUCAAAGACCCUACCGUGCUCCACUGUCAUCUCCUCGCCCACCAACUCUGAUUGCACGGCUGCCAGAUCUGAAACCAGCAGGGUCCAAGGAGCCCAGCUGAGGUUAUCACUAUCCAGUCAGGCCAUGCUGCUUCAGUCCAAGCUGCUAAAGCCCUACGUGAGUCUUACCAGGCUGAGCACUCAGGAGUGUUAUCAGUGGACCAAGGGGAGAUCCUCAAGUUGCUAUGUAGAGUCUGUGGUACAAGGGAGCAAUGGCGACAACGAUGAGGACAGGAGGAAGGAGGAGGAAGAAGAUGAAUAUUCUUUUGAUCUGAACACUCUUUACUCCAGUCAUUCUUCAAGCUGUGACAGCGAGGACUCCCUUGAGUGCGACCCUGACUACAAACCUCGCAAUAAAAAGAAAAGACUUCUCUAUGAGUAUGUGAAUGCAAGGAGCCAAAUUCAUACAUGA